Lagopus leucura (white-tailed ptarmigan) is the source of this 12814-nucleotide long non-coding RNA. RefSeq lists it as uncharacterized. The record is from RefSeq and is a predicted model, not a curated record. Lineage: Eukaryota; Metazoa; Chordata; Aves; Galliformes; Phasianidae. The transcript has 3 exons.
GAGCUCUUCUGGAGAUCCCUCCUCUGGAGUUUUGCAGCGAGCCCAGGGUGUGGGCAGGGGGCAGAAUCUAAUCUUCUACUAUGCCAGGACUGAUUCCUGCCAUUUACUAUUGAAAGAAACUGGAGGUCGGCUGAGUUCUCAAGCUUAUCAAGUUUCCUCCUCGUCUCUAAGAAAGGCUCUGACUUGUGGCACAUUGGCUGAAAAAAACCAGCUGUCUUCCACUGAAGCCCAGAUUCACUAUUGCUGAUCCUUCUUAAGAUAAAACGAGGCAGAAGACUUCAAACAAAUUCUGAGCACUCCCCCCUAUUCUUCAUGAAUCAUGGCAUAAUAUGGAGAAGAUUUGAAGCCACGGACAAGAUCUGACAGAAGGCAGAGAAAGAUUGAGAAACCUGCUGCAGCUUCAUGAAUGGAUGGAAUGCUUCAGAGCUGCGCUGUAUCUCUCUCAUCACCAAAAUCCAAUAAAUGCACUGGGGAAGGAGGCUGUUGCACUGUCCAGCUUCUUGGAAGCCUCUUUGAGUUUAGCAAUAAGAUGGAAUUGACAUUUAAAUUAAAAUCACAUUUACUGGAUACUCUUAUUUGUAUGCUAAUUUGCAGAUGGGAAAUGCAGUGCCUCCCUGCUCAUCUCUGUGUUAUCAGAGAGGGAAGACCUGAUUUCUGGCAUGCUCUACUUGCUCUGUGCUAAGGCCAGAUAGUUCUUACAGCUCUUCCCCAGCUGUGGGCAGCCCAGUGCCUGCCGAAGUUGGUCAGGCUUCUUGCACUCACUGUUGCUUCCAGAAGUAUCCAGUUGUUAUUGUGGGUCAGGGGUGCUGACCCUGCCUUGGGUUCAGAGGUGAAUGAUGGGCAGGAAACAGGCCCCCAGUUGGGAGGAUUUGGCAUACCUGGACUGUGUUGUGGCUUAGUGGGAGCCUGCUGCUGCUGCAGAGCUGGAGCUGUCCCAGGGGCUUUGACAGGGUUUGGUGCCCAUGCAGUGAAGGCUGAGCUGUAGGUGGGCUGCAGAUGUUGAGCAAUGGAGCUCCCAGCCCUUCCCAGGGACAGCUUCUGUCUCAGUAACUCCUGCGCUCCAUGUUCUGCUGGACAUUGGAGUUGCUGAGGCAAGUGCUCAACUGCUGAAAUAAUGCAUGUUGGUUAAAAACCCAAAGAAAAACUGCAGUAAAAUUCCUCACUUUGAGAAAUUCUUUGUAAAGCAGGUUGCCAGAGGGAUAAUGGCAGCUUCAAAAUGGUGGUGAUGUGUCAUGGGUUUCACCCAAUCUCCUGAUUCCACAUGCAGCUCUGCCAUGAAGUAAUUGGUGCAAACCAUCUUGCACAGGUGGGGAUAUUACUGCUGCGCCCUUUAAACUCAGGUCAAGUGGAGGAAGCCUAGUUGCAGUGGCUGAUCUCACACACUGCACAACUUAGAAAAAGCUGAGGGUACAUAGGAAGCAUAGCUUGGAGCUCAGUUCUUUCCAAAAGAUAAGCUCCUGAGCUACAGAUAAUUACUAGUGCUCUCUUCUCUUUUUAUGGCAUCUUUUAGAUUAGGCUGUAGAAACAGUCUGCAUAUGCUUUAAAGAUUAAAAUCAAUGAGUGUUUCUUGGUGUGGCCAAGUUAAAAAUAACAAUGAAAUGAAAGCUGGAGGUGCUUGCUGUGAGUCAGUGCAGGGGUGCCAGUCUGCCACUUGGGAUUGUCACGUAGCUGCCUUGGGACGUGGCACUGCUUGGGAGUGGUGGCAGGUUCCACCAGACUGACAAAACUUCAGUAUCUGUAAUUAGUAACAUCUGCAUCCUACAUAUUUUCUGGUUAUUCUGCACUGAAUAAAGAAGAAAAACAAAGUAUAUCCUUGAACAAACUCACAGGAGAGGCCAAGUUAGGAUGGGGUUGCCGGUCCUUGUGGAAAGAGGACUAGAGUCUCCUAUUGUUCUGAUAUCAUAGGAAAAGAUCUAAGUAAGGUAGCUGCAGGGCAAUUGAGUAAGGAAGAUGAAGCAACAUACUUACACAAGAAAAUGAAGAAAUCCUAACUUGGAAGUUACUGGCAUAAGUAAAUGCAUUGAUAAAUACAGAAAUCAGUCACUGAAAUAAUGGCAAAAUUUUCUUCUACUGGUUCACAAGUAUGGAAGUUAGUGCGUAUUUUGUAAAAGACAAACUUACCUUCAUUCCAAGCUCUGACAAAUCUAAGCUUCUUAAAUUUCAGCAUAGUUUCUUUUAAUGAAAAGACCCAAGGUUUUCUUCGGUUUAUUUGCUUCAGAGUGAUUUCAUUCGUUCUAGCUGUAUCAAUUCAUUGCUUCCAUUUAAUUUAUUAAACUACUCUCAGCAUACGAUCGUGAGAUGUCACGCCGUUACCGUUGACUGCCAACAGAGGGCAGUAACGAUCACUUUACCUCGAAUGGAAAUCGAUAUGGUUGACGUGCUGGUACAGACCUCACUCCUUUUGCAGGUGCCUCGUUUCAGAAUAACCAUAGCAAUGAGAGCACCUUUGCUAUUUCAGCAUGAUUAUGAUACAGCACCAUGUCUAGCAUAAUAGCAUCUGGAACAUUAAACUCAAGCACAGCUCCUGCAGAGAAGAGAACCUCCUGGUCUGGGCAGGAAUAAGAAUCCACACAGGUCAGUGUCAGCCUGAUGACAGCACAACUUUACCAGCUCCCCAUUCUGGCUUGCAUGUCUAAGUUCCCAGCUGGUACAGGACAAAAAAAGACAAGACGGAUAACACAUGCUUGCCUCCAGCAGACAAACAAGUCUCAGAAGUUGGCGGCUUCAGUCCGCUGGCACUGACAGCACAGAGAUUCUCACUGAGCAGAUUUUUUAACAGUCCUCAUUGCACUGAACAAACAUAACGCAGAACCUGAACACACAUUCCCACCCUUCACAGCACUGUAACUUGUGCACUUUCCUUGAUAUCUCUAUUUUAAGACUGAUGGGUAACUGAAAUGUAAUGAAAUCCACUGUCAUCUAGAAGGAUGAAGGAAAAAUACAGAUCCUCUUCUAAAGAGAAAACCAAGCAUUAAUUCAUUUCUGGUCAAUACCAGAAGCUGAUUUUGCGUCUCAUUCAGACUUUGGCCAGUGUGUUUUCCAGCUCUAGGAUGAGCACAGUUCUUCAAAAUAACAGUAAUAAUACGGAAAAGCAGGUCAUAUAACACGUUAUUUUGGAGAACUGCUUAGCCAGCACAGGUUUAAGACUCCAAAUAGCCUUUCAUUUUCCCAGAAGUUGAUUUUUAAAAAGCCUAAUAACAAAACCAGACCAAAAAUGACUCUUUCAUAUCUACAUUAGAUUUUUGUAGACUCCUUCUUCCCCAUGUACACACUUAAUUCAUCAAACCAACGACAGGGAAAGAGUUGCUUUUGAUUCCACUAGAAUUCAAGAAGUCUGCUAGUGAGUUCCAGAGUGUUAGGAAUGCUUCCUGAAUUUAGGCAAAAGAAAAGCUGUUGCUUUCUUAGACUUGAACCAGGGAAAACCAACUGCAACUGCCUUUAGCAAAAUAAAAAAAGUGUUGCAGAACUGCAUUUGAAAUUGCAGUUUUAAUGUCAUGCAAUCCACACCUCUUGCAAGUCAUGUCUAACCCACAGUACUGAUUAGGACGACAUCUCAGAAUAUAAAAAUAAAACAUCCCAUUAAAUAGAUACCAAGACAAUUUCAUAUGACAAAAAUAUGGAGGUAUUAAGAAGUUCUUCUUUGUGUGCAGCAUCUGCUAUUUGUCAAGGCAAUGAUCUUCUCUGGAUUCAAAAUGUGCAAUUCUAUGCGCCCAAGGCAGAGGAGGUUGGAACUGGAUGAUCUCUAAGGUCUCUUCCAACCCAAAUCAUUCUUUGAUCCUGUAACUCUCAUAAAUCAAGGAUUUAUCCCAGCCAGACUCCCUUACCAGUGCUAAAACAAAUUCAUAGUUUAAACUAUCAAGCCUCUCCAUGUGAAUCGGUGUAUAUUUUCAAAGAAAAUAAAAAAAAGCUGCAACUCAUCCUAUCUUGCAGUCAUAUGAUGGCUCUGUACUUCAAACACUCACAGCAGGCUUUGUACUAGGACCCACAUUAAGCAGCAAUUAAACAAUUAAACAAUUUCAUGGCAGAUGCUUCCACAUUCUUCACAGGCUGCAUUAAAUUUGCUGUGAUGUAAAAGCUGGAAAGUUCUUCAUUCAGUUCAGAGCCUGACGCUUAAGUGGCUAUCAGUGACUGACUAAUAAUACCAAGCAAAGGAGAUCUGCUUUUUGAUGUUUAAACAUACAGAACAAGAUACGCCCCAAAUCAGAAGCUUUUGUGCAGUUACGGUCUUGAUACUUAAAUUCACUUUCUAAAGUCCAAUAAUAUACUCCCUGUGCUUCUUCCCUGGUCUGCUACAGCAGCUCUUGCUCAUCAUCUUCAGAGCCCGAAGGUCCUUGUCGUACCUCUUCAUACCAUUUGUUUGUGAGAGUUUUCAUCUGUAUGCGCCCAUGAUGCAAGUCCUAAGGCACAAGAAAACAUUGUCGCUGAGGUACAAUACAACUUGUUAGAGUGCAAAACAGAAUGAUGAGUUAAGUGUACUUCUCACAAAAUAAUCUGCUUGUGAUCUUUAAGUGUACAAAACAUGUCAAAUGCUCAGCUAUUAAUUACUUCCAGGGACGAUACUUUGAGACAUUUUCUUUGUUUCCUACACAGUCUUCCUCUGUGGAUUUCAACAAUUAGAGUUGUCUAGAAGGCAGUGUUUUUGAAUCUCACUCCUCUCAACAUGUUCCCAUAGACAGCAGGAAGCUUGUGACCUGCUUUGGCAAUUCACGUACUUUUCUACCAUUUGGUUGCAGUCUUGAUGGCAGCCUGUGUUUUUGGCUACCAAUUACAAAUCAAAUGCCAUUUUUUGAUUUCUUGAUUCAUUCCUUGUUUUGCAAAAUAAAAAAAAAUUAAAACCCUUUGGCUUUUGUGGAAAAGUGUUCAGAGUUUGAAUAUACAAACACAAAGUCUUUAACCUCACAGCAAAAAUGCUUAAUUCAAAUUGGAGAGGAAAACAAAAAGUGAAUUACGUAGCCAAGGAAUAUCAGGCUUCUGAGGCCUGGAGUGAAAAUAGCAUAGUAUUCACACCUCUGAGCUUAACUCAGUGUUAAGCUGUGUGUUCAGCCAGGUGUCAUUUUGCAUUUACAGCUUCAGACUCUUCAUCUCAUAGUGAAGAAAUAUUAAAAAAAAAAAAAAGGUUGCAAUUUCAAGAAUGGCCUAUUUUUGGCUAUAGUUCCAAGCAAAAGGCUGUGCUAGGCAGAAAAAUCCAUUUAAUCCACCAGCGAUUGUGCAGUGCGGCUUUUAAUUACAGCUGCUCUACAUAUGCACAAGGUAAGGUGUUAGAUGGCUCACUACCCCUUGUGUAGAAGUUGUAUAGUUGUACUGUGAUCCUUGAAUGGUACAGAGUGAAAUAAGAGCCAACUCCACCACAGUUUUGCUUCAAGAAAACAAGACAGACUUACUUCUUGUGUGAGUCUUCUGGUGAAGAAAGGAUUCAAAUACUUAGCAUCCAGCCACAUAAAUCCUUUGAGGUCCUGGCGUUUUAUGUACUGGGCUUCAUAUUCCUCCUCUGUGAGCUCUGAUAAAUGCUCGGAUUCUAUGGUAUUUCCCUAGAAACAUCACAAAUAUUGCAAUAGCCUGAGAAAAAAUAGUUAUUCCCUCCCACUUGCUUCACCGCCUUAUGCUGUCUCUUUUUUCAGUCAAUUCCCAUGACAGAACAAAAUAGAAAUAAUCACCUCAGCCUACCAGGGCUUACAGCUGCAUGAAUCUGUCCAGCUGUUGAUUCCCAGAGUCACUUACCUUCCUUUUUCAUGCCAAAAGGCUUAAAAUACUCCAUGGUUUUGUACUGUUGUUAUUGCUAAGGGAUUUCUAGUGCACAAGCUUCCUCAUACAAUCUAAGCAAUGAGUACAUAUAGCAAACAAUACUUUUGUGUCAUCAUCUCACUGGAAAAGAAAAAGCCCUAUAUCAGAGCACUCCAUGCUACCUGCACUCUUCCCAUACACAUUCACCUCCAUAGACAGAAUAAGCUAAUUCUGAAGACUGAAGACUUUAUAAAGCCUCAUUCCAAGAGAAGUUGUUUUUCAGAUCCACAGAACAAUUCUCUGCAUGCAUUGUGUUAUGGCUUGGGACCAAAAGAAGAAAAAGCUUCAUGAUACUUUAUGUACUCCUGUCUUCAACAGAUGAAUUUUCAGACUAGACAUUAGUUUUCUUCAGUAUUUCUGACUAUUUUAAAGCCAGAAUCUGCCUUAAAAUAAAACCCAGUCACAGUGGUGCUGCUGCUACCAACUUAUUGAGGCCUUUGCUUUGACUUUUUCAAAAUCUGCCUUCUAUUAUUAAUUCCUGACUCACAAUAUACUAGCUCAUUUCUGUCUGUGACUCAAUCUAUCCUGUAGCAUCUGCCUUAUGUUUUAAGGUUACUUUAAUUUGUAUGGGUUCAUUUAUAAUUAAAAUGACUUAAGAGACAAAGCUUCUCACCCCUUUGUCUAAGCAGUUACUUGUGUACAUGCUAACCAAGCUCUCUGGGAUACUUUAAAUACUAUUUGGCUUUUUUCUACCAUGCCUCCACUCAUUUUGUUUUACUUUUUAGUGAAAAAAAAAAAAAAUCAUACUAGUCUUCCUGAAAAUGAAAAAAAUAAUUGUCUGAAUAGAACAACAAUAUACCAUUUUCUCUGUCUUGCUAAGAUUAAUGUCCUUUUUGUUCCUCUUGCGUGCUUUGGAGUCUUCAAUGUCAAUUAGUCUGAUAAGGGGCAUAGUUCCUCCUCCCAACAGCAAAACCGUGAACAGCACUAUGAUGAUUGUAGUUGUUCCAAUGAGCUGACGCUUCUCUAUUGGUUCCAAGCCCAAAUGGAGGCUGAGUGCAUAGGGAAUUGCACCACGUAAACCUGCAGAGAGAACAAUAAAUCGGCGAAGAGUGAAUCAGCACCGAUGCUGGUCCCUAGCACUCUGUUAACUCAACAGGAGUCCUCCACUUUCAUGGCUUUUAUGAUCCUAUUCUCUGCUCAUUUAUCUAUUACUUGUUUAUAAUCUUAAAAUGAAUCAGAGGUACCGCUUUUCAAACUGAGCUGUUUGAUUUUUAGAAAACUAUAUUCUUUGAAGAAAAGUUUUACUUGGGAACUAUACUGCAUUGUUUUCCUAAACAGAAGGGAAAGAGAAAGUAUCAGUUGCACUUGGAUUUGAGAAUGGUGCAAGUGUUAAGUUUUCCAUGGAUGGAAAACCAGUUCCUCCCAAACAAGCCCACACAAAGAAAGAGAGAUAAAACAUUUUCUCCAGUCCUCCAUAGCUUGAGUUGUAACUUACCACUAAACCACAUGAUAAACAUCAUUUUAGGGGUGAUUUUAUGAUCACGAAAAAAGUUGAGUAGGUAGGAAAGGGGGAAAAUAUUCACUGCUCUACCAAACAGAACAAGUACCUGAAAAACAAAAACCAAAGCAAAAGGCUACUUGAUGUGUUAUGGUCACAUAGGCCCAAAUUGCAUUUAAUUUAGCUUGUACCAGCUAACAGCAAUACACCCUUCCCACUCAUAAAUCUCAUAAACAGGUGAGCUGCUAAAUCAACAAAAAAACCCACAAAACUGUCAGCAUCAGUUAAUUUAAACAAUUUUGUCUGCUUAAGUUAAUUUAAACCUGACCAGACUCUGUUUUACUUCUGAUAAACAAAUGAAACCCAGAAGGCAUUCCAGGGAGACCAAGAAUCAUUUUGGGUAUGUGCUUCCCUCAUUUCAGUUUCUUUAAUUGUUCUUUUGGCACAGCUGCUAACAGUCAAAGCAAUGUUUCUAUUGCUUCCCAUGGACAAGUUCCUCAUUGAAAAAGAAGCCAAAUAAAUAGCAUGCAAUUCAGUUCCCUAGCACUUUACUGGAUAUGGCUGUAAAAUACACCAAACAUCUAAGCAACAAAAAAGUACUAUUAUUUUAAUAACAUAAUCAGUGAAUACAGUGAAAAUUAACUCAGAAAAACAGUUACUCACAAUGGUGCUGCUCAGUAAACUCCACAACAAACAUACCUUGACAAGGUAAAUACACUAGACUUAGUCAGCAGGAUUCUUGAAGGCCUCUGGUGUUUUCCUUUAUGAAUCACCCCAAAAUUAGUCAAUUUGCAUAUUAUGGCUGUGAGGGCAAUGCUAGAAGGAAGUGUCACACCUUAGAUAUAUAUUAGGUAAGGAAGUUGGGUACAUAUGUGUAAUGCGGUGAGAGCAGUUCUCCAUGCUGAUAAAAUUAUCUGUAGAUUGUAGAAAACAAUUCUUUCCUUGGAGCAUGGGCUAAAACAAACUAGUGUGCAUUGAGGUAUGUGACUAGAAAUUUCCCCUUUUCCAAUCUGCAAAGAGAAUGCACUUUUCAUGUUUCAGUUAAAUAACAACAAUAGCAAAAUAUGUAGAUAAGUUCCAUGUGAAACAAAAGCUACACUGAAAUACAAAAUGAAGGAAUUGAGAAUAGAGUCAAAGAAUGAGCAGACAUUAUAGAAGUUUUGAGAAAGUACUACCUCGGAAGAAGGGGAGCUUUUUCAUCUUGUCACUUCUUCACAGAGUGAAGAAGUAAUGCAUGGACUAAAUUCACACCAAUCCUUCGUGAUGCUAAAAAUGCAUAGAAACCGCAGGAUUGUCCUCCUGAGGGAAAUGACUUCUGAGAUAAUUUUAAUAAAGCAAAAUAAGCAAGGUUCUUUUUCUUAUUAGUGUUUCAAAAUAAACUGGAAUCCUUAAAUCAGGCUGAUGUAAGCACACACCACAGCACUAAGAACAGAAAGAGGAAGUUCAUGCUUAUCAGUAAGAACUUUGUGCAACAAAUACAAUUAUAAUAGUAUCCUUCAUAAAAAACUGUAAAAUCUAACAAAUAAAUUUUUUUAAGUGCAAGGUUUUAUUUUUCUGCACAAACACCGCAGAAAAAUACCUAAAUAUUUUUUAAAAGAAAUACCUACUAUGCACCAGAUGACGAAGGACAUCUCAAACUUGUGAGGAAAACUAAAAAUAGACAGGCCAAGAAAUGCAAAAACACACGUUUCUGAAAAAGAGAAGUUGCAUUUUAAAUACACAAUUCUGUGAAACCUUUUGUAUUCCCAUUAUAAUAUAUAUGGAGCAUAAAAUAAAUAUUUUCUGAUUUUGCAAUGCACAAAAAGAAAAGUCUUUUUGUAGAGGAACAUGGGAGUCAGAGAUCUCUCCUUGGCUACCAGCCUUGUUGCAAAUCUUAGCAGGAGGCUGCAGAACGGGAAAUGAAGAUUUACUGGAUGCUUUAUCCAGUACAUCAGGAAAGACGACUUGUGGCUGCCUUCCAGCAUCCACUAAGUAGCCUUCUCUUAAAGACAUGUACCGCUAACAUACGAACAGCAGGAGGAAAACUCAUCUCUCUCCUGCUGCCUUUGGAAUCACCGUUUGAAGCAAAUCAAUUUUUAAACUAUAUUAGAUAUACUGUAGGUAGCACGUACCACACAUGAAAGCAACGGUUCUCAGUGUCUGCUGCAUUAAUAUCUGUGUAACAGGGGAGAGGUUAUGGUGCGUAUAGUGGGACAUCACAAUGCCAGAGAACAGGAUUGCCAUGAUUCCUGUAAAUAAAACGCAGUAAUCAAAUAGAGGUUAACUUGUAAACUGCAAAUAUAGUGUUUGCUUACACUCUAUACUAAUACAAAAGCUUUUGAAGCAAUGAGUGAGGUUUCUCUUACCACUGGAAGUUGCACUGAUUUCAUUCUGCUGGAUAUAUUAAAUACUAGGAGGUCCUAAACAGGUCAACUGCAAGCUAAUAUAAAUCCUUGUAGUCACUGCUUUCCCAUAAAAGUGAAGGAACUAAACUGUUUGAGAGGUUUUCCUGCCUUUCCCUAUACUAGCAGGCAGACAGAUAUCAUCAAAAAAGGAGUAAGAACAACUUGAGAGUAGUGGGGCUAGAGGACUGUAUGAUUUUGUUCUUCCAGACAAGUCAUUCAUUCCUACGUGCUGAUCAGUCAGUCCCAAUCACUCCACCAGAAGCAGAAUGAGACCAACAGGGCCUAGGUUGAAACCAUUCCAGUAUGGAGUACCAAGUUAUUAAAAGUUAAGGAGGAAUAGCAAAUGCAGGUUAAGGAGGAAUAGCAAAUGCAGGUUAAGGAGGAAUAGCAAAUGCAGGUGUACUUGCAAUUUGUUAUCAGUAUGAGAACCAGAAAAGGUAUAGAAAUUUGAGAAUUCUGGGCAUAAAUGUCCUUUUAUAAGGUACAACCUGAUGCAUAAGGCCUUUAAAGAAUGCUACUGUGCAGAAUGUCCAUCAUUUUCAACUGACAGGACACAAAGUAGCUACUACAGGUUAUUUCAGAUAUUAAUAAUAGCCAUCAGUUAUGGGGAAAAUUACCAUUAUGCAGUUGAGUUGACCUAAUGACAUGCAUAGUUUGGAUAGAUGUACUGCAACUGGUUCCACAGGCCUAAAAGAGCCAUCUCAGACUUCACUGUAUUCUUGCAUCUUUGAUUGUGUUGCAGUUUUUCCAUCUACCUUGCUUCACAGUGCUGGUUAACUUAUGGAAAUAAUCUGAAUUUCAAGCUAUUUCUCUAACUGCCCAAGACACAUCACAGGUGCUGCCAAUUGUUCACUAUUCAGAGGGAGCUACUUAUCUUAAAGGAAGUUUUAAACAUCUCCAUUGUCUGCUGCAUAGACUUACAUCUGAGAAAGAUAUCCUUUGAGAUGGUAGUAAGGAUUGUGCAAGUAUAGCAAUGUGUUUCAAGAACAAGUACAGUACUCCUUGUCACAAAACCAAUUAAAAAAAAAAAAAAAAAUCAACAACAUAACCCAGAAGGAAUCAACUGCAAAGCAGAUUUCAAGAGGACAAGAUGACAUCUGGGAGUAUACCCAGUUAGCCCAAACCACAGAAAAUAUGAAAGACCAAGACUAUUUGGCUAGAGCUACGCAUCCAGGGGUGGCCCAGAUGAACAAAACUGGAAGGAUUAGACCAGCCACAGUAGAGUGAGAGUAAUCCUUUGUUUCAAACAGAGGUGAACUAAGGCCUUCAGAAUUUGUUAUUUCUUGAGAAUUCAUUCUUGAAGAUGCCUGAGCAAAUCAGAGAGCUUGUCUUCACAAAUAAAAUGACAAAGAACCUCUGUUAUCCCGAGACCAUCUGAUUAAGAAUGCUAUUACUUCUUCACUGUAUACCAGUGCAUGUGUUUGUUAUAUAAUGCAAUAGCACAAAUUCUGUAAUACUUCAUUAUUGUUCUUCAAAUUCAGAAGCAGCGUAAAUUAGAAGUAGAAAAGGCCAUGUGCUGAUGUAUUCCAGCAUGAUCUUUUCACAAGGGAAAAAAACCUGUGUUUACAGCAACAAAUGUUUUAAUACUCAUAUUUCAGAUAAUUUCUUGAUCUAUACACACAAAACCGUUCUAGAUGCAAGUGGGCAGAAUGGAAAGUUUGCAUUAGCAUUGCAUAUCUCAGUUGAGUAAAUACCAUGAUUACAUGCCACAUCUUCAUACAUAAUAAAAAGAAGCCAACAUCAACAAAACAAAAAUCCCCUGAUAUCAGUGAAGGUACGCUGAUGAACGUUACUCUAAAAUAUUUACAACAGCAUGCACACGUUUUCAGAAAAUUAGAAACUCUGAUUUCAUAUCUGUAGAUCAUUUAUAAAAAAAUGUCACAAACUUGUUAUGUUCUCAUUGCAUACACCAAGUUGUAGAGCAAAUAUCUUUUAAUGAACUUAAAAAUAAACCAGUAUGUUUAAAAAAAAAAGAAGAACCAAGCAGAUACAUAUAAGUUACAUUGAAUACUGCAUCCCUUCCCACCUUCCUUUGAGAAAUGAGACAGGAAGCUGACUGCCUUAAAACAAACAAACAAACAAACACCACACUUAAGUCACCAGAGGUCAGAGAUGGUGGGUAUGCAGCAGAACUGUCUCUAUACUUGAUUCUACAGAAUACUGAAAAAAAUUCCCCUGUAAACCUCUUCUGGCCCUCAGCAAAUUUCUGCUAAGUGUCCAGAGAUAAUACCUGCAGUACUCAUGGGUUGGUCUCAACUGACUUAUCCAACGGCACAGAAAGAUGUGCAGAAAGACAGCUACCAGGUAGUAGGUUGGACAUUACUUAAGUUUGCUAACACAGCCAAACUCCACAGCAUGCAGCUGAAAACUGUCUUCUGUGGUAGGCAGAGGUAACUGGAGAGAAUACUAGUUUUGUGUUGAAUAGCUAAUACUUAUGAAAGCUUCAGUUAUCUUUCCUAUGCAUCUGUAACAUUUCAUAAAAAAUAUUUCCCUGAAGUAAGGCAAGGUCAAAAGUACGAGCACAGGUUAAAUAAGAAAACAUUAAAAACAAACAACAACAAAAUAGAGACCCUCUUAGACACAAAUAACAAAUACUCAAACUUAUCAGAGAAAUCUGCAAAUAAUUGCUUUGCUACUCACCUGAGAGUGAGAUACCUUCUGCAAGUCCAUAAGGAAGGUAAGCAAAGAUAAUCAUCAUCCCAAACUCUAGAGAGGGCGUCUUUCUUAAAUCAAUGUGCUUUAGCACGUGCACACAAAAGUGUUAAGGAAAAGGUAAGCAAAAAUUUUUGUUUAUGUAUUUUUUUAAAUUUAUAUCAUUCCGUUAUAAAACAGUGGGGUGCUUGAUGUACUUAUCUGCCAAAUAGCGAACAAAGCCAACAAGUGGCCCCAUGACUCAAGCAUGUAAAGAUUAACCAUUUCUUACAAGGAGUGUUUUUUUUUUUUUUUAAUAGAACUACAGCUUGUAGAAGUCUAUCAGAAUGGACAGACUUAGAAAAGUUCUGCUACUAUGCUACCUAUACAGUAUUGACCGCAGCAUGCCAAACAUCCAGAAGGAAUCUUUCUCUACACAUUCAGUCUUUGAAAUUUCUUCAAAACUACUGUAAAUGUGCCACAGAGAACCGCUAAGUAGUAAAAGCUUUCCAAAAAACAGAGUAGAGGUAUGAAACAGCAAAGUAAAAUAGUAGGGAGCUUUUUUUUUUUUUUUUUAAAU